UGUAGUCUCGCACAGAUGCAUAUCAAUAAGCGGAGGAAAAGAAACUAACAAGGAUUCCCCUAGUAACGGCGAGUGAAGCGGGAAGAGCUCAAAUUUGAAAUCUUAAAGGGUUUCCCUUUACGAAUUGUAGUUUAAAGAAGUGUUUUCUGUUGAGGUUUUGGUAAAAGUUCUUUGGAAUAGGACAUCAUAGAGGGUGAGAAUCCCGUAUUUGACCUUUACUUUCAACUUUGUGAUACACUUUCAAAGAGUCGGAUUGUUUGGGAAUGCAGUCCAAAAUGGGUGGUAAAUUUCAGUCUAAAGCUAAAUAUUGGCGAGAGACCGAUAGCGAACAAGUACCGUGAGGGAAAGAUGAAAAGAACUUUGAAAAGAGAGUUAAACAGUACGUGAAAUUGUCAAAAGGGAAGCGUUUGACACCAGUGUUGUUUUUCUGAAAAUCAAUUAAAGGAACUGUUUAUGCUAAGUUGUUUAGACUUUAUCAGCUAACUGUUUAGUUUUGAGCUUUUCUUUAAUGCACUUUUCAGUUAACAAGUCAACAUCAAUUUCUUUUGCUGUAAAAAAGCUUGAGGAAGGUGGCUUGAGAUUCGUCUUAAGUGUUUAUAGCCUCUUGCCUAUGCAGUCGGAGAGAUUGAGGUCUGCAGCGUAGAUCCUUCGGGGCUAAAUGCAUUUGUGCUGAGUUAUAGCAUUUUAUAGACAACUUGUUGACUAUGAUUUGUCUUGUAGCUUACUCGCUUAUGUUAUUUUACCUACGCUUAGGAUGUUGAUCUGUAGUGCGUGCGC
This 777-nucleotide ribosomal RNA is filed under the name uncultured Neocallimastigales. RNAcentral's name for it is "partial large subunit ribosomal RNA". It matches the Rfam family "Eukaryotic large subunit ribosomal RNA", at positions 24 to 646 of the family's 3401-position model. The record is from RNAcentral. Lineage: Eukaryota; Fungi; Neocallimastigomycota; Neocallimastigomycetes; Neocallimastigales.